Molecule: non-coding RNA, 255 nt
Organism: Cinara cedri
Lineage: Eukaryota; Metazoa; Arthropoda; Insecta; Hemiptera; Aphididae
Source: the annotation of a GenBank genome assembly
UAAUGCAAUCGUAACAGAUAACGCUGCAAAUAUCAUCAACGCUGUUUCGCAAUUAAACUUAAAUGAAGAAAUGAAAAAAUCUGGCUUAACGUGUGCAGCACAUACUUUGCAGCUGGCUGUCAAUAAGGCUCUAUCAGACGAUCACAUUCAAAGUACAGUAAUGAAAUCGAGUAAAAUUGUUGGUCAUUUUAAGCAUUCAUCUAUAGCAAAUAAUGCUCUGGAGAAUAUGCAACAACAAUUAAAUAAACCCAAAUU